CCUACGGGGGGCAGCAGUGAGGAAUAUUGGUCAAUGUCCGGAAGGCUGAACCAGCCAUGCCGCGUGAAGGUCAGUGCCCUAUGGGCGUUAAACUUCUUUUGUGCGGGAGCAAUAAUGGUCACGUGUGGCCAGACGAGAGUACCGUACGAAUAAGCAUCGGCUAACUCCGUGCCAGCAGCCGCGGUAAUACGGGGGAUGCAAGCGUUAUCCGGAUUUAUUGGGUUUAAAGGGUGCGUAGGCUUUGAGGUAAGUCAUCGGUGAAAUGCCCCCGCUCAACGGGGUGAAGUGCCAUUGAUACUGCCGUGCUGGAAUGCGGAUGCCGUGGGAGGAAUGUGUGGUGUAGCGGUGAAAUGCAUAGAUAUCACACAGAACACCGAUUGCGAAGGCAUCUCACGAAGCCGCGAUUGACGCUGAUGCACGAAAGCGUGGGUAUCAAACAGGAUUAGAUACCCUGGUAGUC
RNAcentral lists this ribosomal RNA (460 nucleotides) under uncultured bacterium. RNAcentral's name for it is "partial 16S ribosomal RNA". It matches the Rfam family "Bacterial small subunit ribosomal RNA", at positions 338 to 795 of the family's 1533-position model. The record is from RNAcentral.